Molecule: ribosomal RNA, 229 nt
Filed under: uncultured bacterium
Lineage: Bacteria
Description: partial 16S ribosomal RNA
Rfam family: Bacterial small subunit ribosomal RNA
Source: RNAcentral
GAUCAUGGCUCAGGAUGAACGCUAGCUACAGGCUUAACACAUGCAAGUCGAGGGGCAGCAUGUUGGUUGCUUGCAACCAAUGAUGGCGACCGGCGCACGGGUGAGUAACGCGUAUCCAACCUACCCUUGUCCGAUCGGAUAACCCGUCGAAAGGCGGCCUAACACGAUAUGCGGUUCACAGCAAGGCAUCUAACGUGAACGAAUGUGAAGGAGAAGGAUGGGGAUGCGU